RNAcentral lists this non-coding RNA (28 nucleotides) under Homo sapiens (human). The record is from RNAcentral. Lineage: Eukaryota; Metazoa; Chordata; Mammalia; Primates; Hominidae.
UGCUCUUGGAGUCUUUGAGCAGGCUGGC